This is a long non-coding RNA of Fukomys damarensis (Damara mole-rat), 409 nucleotides long. The record is from Ensembl. NCBI's taxonomy places the organism in Eukaryota, Metazoa, Chordata, Mammalia, Rodentia, Bathyergidae.
CGAAUGUUACAAUUCCUAUUUUACUGAGAAACUUCUGGUUGUUUGUGACUGGCUACUAUUUGGGAUAGAGUCGUGAUGGUUAUAAGUAGGUGCGGAGGGAUUUUUCUAUGCCUUUAGGAGACGCGCAUAAUACUAGCCAGGAUGUUCCUUCUUGUUUCAACGACAAGGCUUGGCUCUGCCCCAGCUGGCAGCAGGUGACAUCUUCAAGGCGUUUCAACUCCUCAGGAAUGUUCCUUCUUGUUUCACUGACAAGGCUUGUGCUGGCUUCAGAUUGAAAAAAUGCCAUCUUAAAGAUAUUCCAGCUCCUCAAGGUCAGCAGUUUUCUACACCCUGAAUCAUUUUAAGCAUAUGUUAACCCAUGGGGUGGUGCAAGGAAUGCCACAACAAUUCAGUAAAAUAAAUUGAAGAG